CGGAACGUGCCCAGUAGCGGGGGAUAACUACGCGAAAGCGUAGCUAAUACCGCAUACGCCCUACGGGGGAAAGCAGGGGAUCGUAAGACCUUGCACUAUUGGAGCGGCCGAUAUCGGAUUAGCUAGUUGGUGAGGUAAUGGCUCACCAAGGCGACGAUCCGUAGCUGGUUUGAGAGGACGACCAGCCACACUGGGACUGAGACACGGCCCAGACUCCUACGGGAGGCAGCAGUGGGGAAUUUUGGACAAUGGGGGAAACCCUGAUCCAGCCAUCCCGCGUGUGCGAUGAAGGCCUUCGGGUUGUAAAGCACUUUUGGCAGGAAAGAAAUGGCGUGUGUUAAUACCAUGCGCAGAUGACGGUACCUGCAGAAUAAGCACCGGCUAACUACGUGCCAGCAGCCGCGGUAAUACGUAGGGUGCAAGCGUUAAUCGGAAUUACUGGGCGUAAAGCGUGCGCAGGCGGUUCGGAAAGAAAGAUGUGAAAUCCCAGGGCUCAACCUUGGAACUGCAUUUUUAACUACCGGACUAGAGUAUGUCAGAGGGAGGUGGAAUUCCACGU
RNAcentral lists this ribosomal RNA (559 nucleotides) under uncultured bacterium. RNAcentral describes it as "bacterial SSU rRNA". It matches the Rfam family "Bacterial small subunit ribosomal RNA", at positions 119 to 674 of the family's 1533-position model. The record is from RNAcentral.